Molecule: ribosomal RNA, 198 nt
Filed under: uncultured bacterium
Lineage: Bacteria
Description: partial 16S ribosomal RNA
Rfam family: Bacterial small subunit ribosomal RNA
Source: RNAcentral
ACGCUCGACACCUACUGGAGGCAGCAGUGGGGAAUAUUGCACAAUGGGGGAAACCCUGAUGCAGCGACGCCGCGUGAGCGAAGAAGUAUCUCGGUAUGUAAAGCUCUAUCAGCAGGGAAGAAGAUGACGGUACCUGACUAAGAAGCACCGGCUAAAUACGUGCCCGCAGCCGCGGUAAUCUGAGCGGGCUGGCAAGGC